UACGGAGGGUGCAAGCGUUAUCCGGAUUCACUGGGUUUAAAGGGUGCGUAGGCGGGCAGAUAAGUCAGCGGUGAAAUCUCCGAGCUUAACUUGGAAACUGCCAUUGAUACUAUCAGUCUUGAAUACCGUGGAGGUUAGUGGAAUAUGUCAUGUAGCGGUGAAAUGCUUAGAUAUGACAUAGAGCACCCAUUGCGAAGGCAGCUGACUACACGGAGAUUGACACUGAGGCACGAAAGCGUGGGGAUCAAACAGG
This 253-nucleotide ribosomal RNA is filed under the name uncultured bacterium. RNAcentral's name for it is "partial 16S ribosomal RNA". It matches the Rfam family "Bacterial small subunit ribosomal RNA", at positions 524 to 776 of the family's 1533-position model. The record is from RNAcentral.